Molecule: ribosomal RNA, 503 nt
Filed under: uncultured bacterium
Lineage: Bacteria
Description: partial 16S ribosomal RNA
Rfam family: Bacterial small subunit ribosomal RNA
Source: RNAcentral
AUUGAACGCUGGCGGCAGGCUUAACACAUGCAAGUCGAGCGGGGUGAUGGUGCUUGCACUAUCACUUAGCGGCGGACGGGUGAGUAAUGCUUAGGAAUCUGCCUAUUAGUGGGGGACAACAUCUCGAAAGGGAUGCUAAUACCGCAUACGUCCUACGGGAGAAAGCAGGGGAUCACUUGUGACCUUGCGCUAAUAGAUGAGCCUAAGUCGGAUUAGCUAGUUGGUGGGGUAAAGGCCUACCAAGGCGACGAUCUGUAGCGGGUCUGAGAGGAUGAUCAGCCACACUGGGACUGGGACACGGCCCAGACUCCUACGGGAGGCAGCAGUGGGGAAUAUUGGACAAUGGGGGGAACCCUGAUCCAGCCAUGCCGCGUGUGUGAAGAAGGCCUUAUGAUUGUAAAGCACUUUAAGCGAGGAGGAGGCUCUUUUGGUUAAUACCCAAGAUGAGUGGACGUUACUCGCAGAAUAAGCACCGGCUAACUCUGUGCCAGCCGCCGCGGUAA